UUCGCGACCACUCUCGUCCCGCUCCUAACAACCAAAGGCGCGGGAUGCGCCAAGGAAAAUCGAAACGAAUCUGACUCCUGCCUCGGUGCAUUGCAUCGUGUCGGCGAGUGUAUUCGAUAAGUCAUAACGACUCUCGGCAACGGAUAUCUCGGCUCUCGCAUCGAUGAAGAACGUAGCAAAAUGCGAUACGUGGUGUGAAUUGCAGGAUCCCGUGAACCAUCGAGUUUUUGAACGCAAGUUGCGCCCGAAGCCUUUAGGCCGAGGGCACGUCUGCCUGGGCGUCACGCACCGUUGCCCCCCAAACCCCCUCAGUCCUCCACGGAGGAUUGGCGAGGCGCGUGGGGGGCGUAAAGUGGCUUCCCGUCGGCUUUGUCCCGCGGUUGGCCUAAAAAUGAAUCCCUAGCCGCGGUGCGCGCGGCAUUCGGUGGUCAUCGAUCCCUUUCGUUACCCCGCCGCGCGCUCACGUGCCGCGAAGGAUGUCACACUAGUAAACCCGACGCCUCGCUUUGUGAAGAGCGGAGCUUACAACGCGACCCCAGGUCAGGCGGGGCUACCCGCUGAA
This 562-nucleotide ribosomal RNA is filed under the name embryophyte environmental sample. RNAcentral's name for it is "eukaryotic LSU rRNA". The stretch from base 129 to 284 matches the Rfam family "5.8S ribosomal RNA". The record is from RNAcentral. Lineage: Eukaryota; Viridiplantae; Streptophyta.